RNAcentral lists this ribosomal RNA (464 nucleotides) under uncultured bacterium. Its description in RNAcentral is "partial 16S ribosomal RNA". It matches the Rfam family "Bacterial small subunit ribosomal RNA", at positions 28 to 507 of the family's 1533-position model. The record is from RNAcentral.
GACGAACGCUGGCGGCGUGCUUAACACAUGCAAGUCGAACGGAAAGGCCCUGCUUGCAGGGUACUCGAGUGGCGAACGGGUGAGUAACACGUGGGUGAUCUGCCCUGCACUUCGGGAUAAGCCUGGGAAACUGGGUCUAAUACCGGAUAGGAGCCAUUUUUAGUGUGAUGGUUGGAAAGUUUUUUCGGUGUAGGAUGAGCUCGCGGCCUAUCAGCUUGUUGGUGGGGUAAUGGCCUACCAAGGCGGCGACGGGUAGCCGGCCUGAGAGGGUGGACGGCCACAUUGGGACUGAGAUACGGCCCAGACUCCUACGGGAGGCAGCAGUGGGGAAUAUUGCACAAUGGGCGCAAGCCUGAUGCAGCGACGCCGCGUGGGGGAUGACGGCCUUCGGGUUGUAAACUCCUUUCGCUAGGGACGAAGCUUUUGUGACGGUACAUAGAUAAGAAGCACCGGCUAACUACGUG